Molecule: ribosomal RNA, 253 nt
Filed under: uncultured bacterium
Lineage: Bacteria
Description: partial 16S ribosomal RNA
Rfam family: Bacterial small subunit ribosomal RNA
Source: RNAcentral
UACGAGAGGCCCAACCGUUAUUCGGAAUUACUGGGCUUAAAGAGUUCGUAGGCGGCGCGGCAAGUGGGGUGUGAAAGCCCUCGGCUCAACCGAGGAAUUGCGCUCCAAACUACCGUGCUUGAGGAAGCUAGAGGUGAGCAGAACUGAUGGUGGAGCGGUGAAAUGCGUUGAUAUCAUCAGGAAUACCGGAGGCGAAGGCGGCUCACUGGGGCUUUUCUGACGCUGAGGAACGAAAGCCAGGGUAGCGAACGGG